GGGCGCUCUUGCAGGACGCGGCUCCGAAAGGAGAAAUAGAGCGGUCCCGACCCUUCCUAAGGAAACGCGUAGGUGGGGAGCAGCGGCGGAGCAAAGGGACAAUUAUCCCCCAUCCCCCAAGGAAUUUUCCGGAACACAGAGCCAACCACACCCAGUGCCACACAUCUGGCCAUACUCACGUCUCCUUCAGUGGUCCCAGCCCAAACCGCCCAGAGUAGAGGAGCCCACGAAAAACAGGUCAAACACAUUCCUAACUUACGUGUUCCUACAGGAUUUAACCUGAGCAAGAGGAUCUCGUAAGUUCAUCUAAAGAAAGACUCGCCUACCUUCUUACACAGGAAAAGUAGUUUUUAUUCGGAAGAAAAAGGCUGACAACAAUUAACUUUUUGAAGUUAUUUGCUUUGGGCUAAUAGACAUUUUACAGAUGGAAUUUUGUUUAAUCCCCUUUCAGGGGAUUAAAAAUGGCCACAGAAUUUAUACAAUUGACCUCAUCAAUAAGUGGCAGCUAAGUCUACCCCCACAUUUGACUCUGGGCUGGCAUUAUACUUGGCUUUGACUUACAGCAUGAAGUAUAAGUGACAUUGUGUGAGUGCCAGAGCCUAGGCAUUGAGAAGCUUUGCAGCUUCACUUCACACUCUUGGAAGCCUGAGCCACCAUGUAAAGAGACCCAACUAUACCCUUCUGGAGAGACAGUGUGGAGUCCAGAGCCAGCACCGAGCACCUGACAUGUAAAUGAGGCCAUUUGAUUCACCCAGCCCCAUCUGAGCCUCCAGACACUACACCUGCACGAGCAACCCCAGAUAAUUCUAAAUGGAGAACAACCCAGCUGAGCCAGCCAACUCCAAAAUUAUGGCAAGUAAUGAAUUAUAGUUGUUUUAAGACACUAAGUUUUGAAUGGAUUGUUAUAUAGCAAUAAAUAAUAGAU
Molecule: long non-coding RNA, 925 nt
Organism: Rhinolophus ferrumequinum (greater horseshoe bat)
Lineage: Eukaryota; Metazoa; Chordata; Mammalia; Chiroptera; Rhinolophidae
Exons: 3
Source: RefSeq, a predicted model, not a curated record